Long non-coding RNA from Fundulus heteroclitus (mummichog), 767 nucleotides. RefSeq lists it as uncharacterized. NCBI's taxonomy places the organism in Eukaryota, Metazoa, Chordata, Actinopteri, Cyprinodontiformes, Fundulidae. The transcript is spliced from 3 exons. The record is from RefSeq and is a predicted model, not a curated record.
CCCCCCCCCACCACCACCAGCGGGUCCAGAACCAAAGAGGAACGAGCAGAAUCCGGACCGGCUCUCAAGGUCGCCUGCUCCCAGGUGAUAUAAGUAGCCCAGUGGGAUCUAUUUCCAGAUCUGCUGGAAAUGUCGGCAGCACGACAACAAUAGCUGCAUGGAGGUGUUACGGACAGAGCUGCGGCCAAUCAGAGCGCAGAUCGACAGGUGGGAGGCUUCAGAGUCACGAUGGGCACCGCGGGGGGUCGGGUCCGCUUAUAGAAGCUUUCAGGUUGACUUGGUGUUAUUUCUGAGGCCGGCAGAAUGCCUUCCGGAUGAAUCCUGAUGAAUCACGUCGACGCGCCCAGAGAUCUCCAACGUCUUCAUCGGCCUGACGUUAACGCACCCUGAGCUCCACACGGGAGCCAUCCGUCUGUGUCGGGAGGCGGCGUGGAGUGAUUUCUAAUCGCAGGAAGAGGAGUGUGAGUCAGAGCGAGGUUAACAUGGAGGAAGGAUCCAGAACAGAAACACACAACGGUGCUGGUUCUGGAGACGUUUAAACCAACCACACAUCCAGUUCUGUUCUGCAUGAAACUGGAUCUGGGAAUGCCGACCCAACCGUGUUCUGGUUUGGCUUUCUUACCGGACCUCUGACUGUGUGAUAUGAGCUGAAAACUUUAGGUUUAUAUGUGUUUUAAACAUUCAAGCACUAAAGAAACCUGUUGACUGCGUGUGGGAACAAGAAACAGAAAGAAAUAGGGCUGGAUGAUAAUUCAAUAACAAUAUAU